This is a non-coding RNA of Gossypium hirsutum (cotton), 108 nucleotides long. The record is from Rfam. Lineage: Eukaryota; Viridiplantae; Streptophyta; Magnoliopsida; Malvales; Malvaceae.
ACACCCAUGGUGAGGGCACCUUCUCAAUAAGUCUUUGCAUCUCUCCCAUGCAUCAUAAAGUGUUUCUAAAUCCAUCUGGACAAAAGAAGAGAUAUCAUUCCUUAAUUU